CUUGCUACUUUGCCGGCGAGCGGCGGAGGGGUGAGUAGUGUCUGGGAAACUGCCUGAUGGAGGGGGAUCACUACUGGACACGGUCGCUAAUACCGCAUAACGUCGCAAGACCAAAGAGGGGGACCUUCGGGCCUCGUGCCAUCAUAUGUGCCCAGAUGGGAUUAUCUAGUAGGUGGGGUAACGGCUCACCUAGGCCACUAUCCCUAUCUGGUCUGAGAGGAUGACCAACCACUCUGGAACUGACACACGGUCCACACUCCUACGGGAGGCAGCAGUGGGGAAUAUUGCACAGUGGGCGCAAGCCUGAUGCACCCGUGCCGCGUGUAUGAAGAAGGCCUUCGGGUUGUAAAGUACUUUCGGCGGGGAAGAAGGUGUUGGGGUUAAUAACCUCMGCUAUUGACGUUCCCCGCAAAAGAAGCACCGGCUAACUCCGUGCCAGCACCCGCGGUAAUACAGAGGGUGCAAGCGUUAAUCAGAAUUACUGGGCGUAAAGCGCACGCGGGCGGUCUGUCAAGUCAUAUGUGAAAUCCCCGGGCUCAACCUGGGAACUGCUUUCAAAACUGGCGGGGUAGAGUCUUGUAGAGGGGGGUAAAAUUCCGGGUGUAGCGGUGAUAUGCGUAGAUAUCUGGAAGAAUACCGGUGGGAAACGC
This 650-nucleotide ribosomal RNA is filed under the name Klebsiella oxytoca. RNAcentral describes it as "bacterial SSU rRNA". It matches the Rfam family "Bacterial small subunit ribosomal RNA", at positions 73 to 722 of the family's 1533-position model. Lineage: Bacteria; Pseudomonadati; Pseudomonadota; Gammaproteobacteria; Enterobacterales; Enterobacteriaceae. The record is from RNAcentral.